Molecule: non-coding RNA, 14611 nt
Organism: Monodelphis domestica (gray short-tailed opossum)
Lineage: Eukaryota; Metazoa; Chordata; Mammalia; Didelphimorphia; Didelphidae
Source: RefSeq, a predicted model, not a curated record
UUCUGUUGCAGGACAGCACCUGGAAGAGAGGCCGGAGAUCAGCCACUCCUGGGGAGACCCUGGUACCGGCCUGGUCCAUUCUGGUCCCCACUUAGGGCCCCCUUUGGGCUCCCAGCAGGCUAAAGGACACGGACCCGCAGAGCCACUGAGAGGAAGAAACUGAGGCCCACAGAGGGCAAGGGGCUGGCAGAGAUGGACCUGGAUCCCUUCAACAUGGAUAGAUAAAGACAUGGCAAACUAGGUGAGAAGAGGUCAGGUAGGAGGGAAAAAGAGGAAGGGCAUCUCCUGGUCCUGGGGAGAGGAUAUGAGAGGGAAAGGCCUCCCACCUCGGAGCCCUGGGAGUAGAGGCAAUAAUGGGGGGCAGAGAAGAAAUUGGGGCAAAGGGGUCCAUAAUAACUUACAGGCUCUCCAGGGAGGCUCUGGGGGACAAUGGGAUUCUUGGUGCCCUGCUCUGUGAAGCCCGUAUCCUCCUUGGCACCAAUUGUCUUCUUCUGAAGGAAAUCUGGAAAGAACUCAUACAUGGGUUUUUGAAUCUCCCCCCCCCCCCGUUACUGGGAGGGGGCCCCAGUGGCCACCAGGUGCAACUCCCAGCCCGUCCCACCCCUAUCCCAAAGAUUUUGCCCUCUUAGGGAUGCUGGAUGGGGGCAGGGAGUCCAUUUGCCUUCUAGUCUAGCUCUUCUUCUGGAGAAACAAAAUGGCUCCAGAGUCUUCCUCCCCACCACCCCCUCCUGACUCACUGGCCACUAUCCUUUGAGCUCAAUGAUGGGUUUAAGUCCCUUUGAUGGGAUAAAGGAUGCCAGGAAGUCAAUUGAGUAAUAAGUGGAGGCAGCAGGGUUCCAGCCUGGGUCCUCCCACUCCUUUUCAACCCUACUUCCCUGGCCAGGAUUCUCUUUGAUGCCAUCCCAGACCACUGGGCAGCCAGCCUUCCCUUGAACCCCUCCAGGGUAGGCAACCCACUGUCUGGGCUUAUUUCUAGGAUGGAUGGCGUAGCAGGAAGGGAGGGAAGAAGGGAAGCAGGGCCGCAUCUCCACAUCUAUGUACCUGGCUGGCCUGGGAUUUCAUAGCGGUAUUUGGAGUUGUACUCAGAGGUCAUAAAUCGGGGACCCUGAAACACCAAGGGAGGAAGUAGCAGUGGGGAAUACUGAUUCCAGGCUGCCCACCACCAUUGCUCCUCUCAGGUCAGCCCUGCUCUCCUCAUGGCCCCCCAACUGGAGUGGGGCAGAGGAUAGAUUCUUAGGGGCAGGGCUGGCCCAGGAAUCCUCUUGUCCUGAUCUGGGGAGCCUCAGCCAGCCCCCACUUCCACACGGCACCUCCCCCUACCCAGAUCUGCAAGUCCCUACAAUUCCACUGUUGUGGAUCCAUUUCUCUGUUCGAGAGGAGGGGUUAUCAGUCAUUGACCUGCGAGUAUAAACUAGUGGUCUGAGUCUUUCUCACUGGGAGCAGGUUUGCCAGAGGAGAAGGAGAACACCCCAAUGUCCACGUUCCCAAAAGACUGGAGGAGGGUAAAGGGGUUCGGCAGCCCAGAGAUCACAGAAUUCCAAGAUGGAAGGAAUGUCCAGAAUGUGCAGUUAGCACAAUAGCCUCUCUCCCACUGAGCUCCCCCUUCUUACUUUCCAUGAACAUUCAGGAGAGGCCUCUGGGAAGGAGAGCCUGACCCUAUGCCCGUUGCCACCCACCAGCCAUGCCCGGGCAUCUCCUAGAAGCUGGCAGCAAACUCACGUAUCGGUAAUUCUCCAUUUCAAUGCCUCCCUUGCCCACAUAUUCAUGGAGGGUUGGCACAGUCUUGGGUUCCAAUCCUGUGAUGGCGUGUCCACCAUAAUCCUGGGUGUUGAAGUGGACUUUCUUGACCUGGGAGAAGUAAAGAAGUCUUGUCAGUAAUCUCCAGGGCCCAUCUGAGAUUCAGCACUUUCCACUCUACAAAAUGGGAGAAAUUGCCUGGAUCCCUCCUCAGGUUCUUUCCACCUCGGACCCCAGAACUCUUCAGGCCUCUAGAUUCCUUGGAGGGGGGGAGUGGACCCUGGGGGAGACCUCCUGAGGAAGGACAACAGUUGGGGGACUGGCCUUGGGUUGUCUCCUACUAAUAUCCUGCUACUCAGCCAAAGAGAUCACCCUGAUCCCCCCAAACUCCCCUGGGGAUCUCUGGCCUCCAGGCACAGUUUCCCCGAGUCUGUGUGGUCUCCCUUCAUCUUCUCUUGACAAAGCCCAGCCUAGACUUGCCUCCUCCAGGAAGCUGGCACCUCUCUGCCACCCCAGCCAGCUUACACCCAUCUGCCUCCUGGCUUGCAGGCUCCAUCACUUGCAAGCUGCAUCAUCCUGGUGCCUGACCUUUAUGUCCUGCUUUGAGAGUUGCAUGGAAGCACUCCCCCCCCCAACUCAGUUAUCAUUCCAUUAUACCCAUUUCACAGAGAGGAGAACAAAGGCUGAGUGGCUUGUCCAGGGCACCCUUGCAAAGGGCAAAGGCAGGAUUUGAACCCCAAUUCUGCAUUUGCUCUACUAUUAUUCCAACUACUGGGUGGGUGGAGGAAAUUCUUUUUUCAGGAUUUAUUACCUUUCACACUAAAAUACGAGUUCCUUGAGGAUAAAGACUCAGUCUUCCCCUCCCAGUGCCUACAACUUGUACAUAUCGUGUCUGCCAGGAGAGCAGAGGCCAUCCAGGCUAACCCCUGCACUUAUACAGAUGAUGCUUGAUUCUGAACCAGCCUGGGGGCAGGCCCAUGCCCUGUCCUUUCCCCUCUCCACCUUGGGGCAAUCCCCCCAUACCAGAGUGAAUCCUGGGGGACAGCUGGGCUGAAGGGGAGCACCUUUUUAACUUUUGAAGCAUUGUAUUUAAUUAAUGUCAAAUAUUUUUCCAUGGUUACAAGAUUCAUGUUCUUUCCCUCCCUCCCCCCCCCCCAUAGCCGACGUGCAAUUCCACUGGGUUUUACGUGUGUCAUUGAUCCAGAUCUAUUUCCAUAUUAUUGAUAUUUGCACCAGGGUGAUCGUUUAGAGUCUACAUCCUCGAUCAUAUCCCCAUCAAACUAUGUCUAUAUUUCCGCUCCCACAGUUCUUCCUCUGGAUGUGGAUAGCGCUUUUUCUCAUUCAUUGAGGGGGAACACCUUAAAAAAGCCUGACUGCUCAGGACCCCGGACUCCAUCCCAUGCCCUUAAGGCAGGACCAGAGCAAGGAAAUCCCCUUUGGUGCUAGUCAUCAUCCCCACUUCUGUCUCAAGGACUGAUAAUCAAAUCAAUGCUCCCGUGAAGGACACAAUCAUGGAAUUCCCUGAAAUGUUGCCCUGCUCAGCCUCCCUCUGCUUCCGAGUUAUUGGCUGCCUUCUUCCCUGAUCGACACUCCACGUUCCCAGUAUCUGUCCCAUCAUCUCUUUCCCACGCUCCCAUGAUGCUCUCUGGGAUGCUUCUUACGUUGUUAACAGCUGCUUUUUUUGAUACCCGAGCUGCUCCCCCAGAAAUUACUUUGUAAGUGUUUUUAUUCGCUUUGUAAUGUUUCCUCCCAACACAAUGUAGCCUCUCUGAGAGUAGGGCCUCUUUUCUCUUUGGCUCCCCAGCACCGGAAAGAGUAGCAGAUAGCUAGUAGAUGCUCAAUGAAUCUUUGCUGGAUCGUUUCAUAUCUCUCUGCUCCAGACUCCGAGGCACUCACCUCUUUGGAAGGGACACAAGAGUUGACUUUAUCCCGAACGUAGGAGGAGCCAGACUGGUACACAGUCCAGGGCAGUGGGUUCCUGCCAUCUUGCAGCUCCAUUGGAUGGUAGCUCUGGCCAUAGACUGACUGAGGAGCAUCCUUGGCAGGUUCCCUAGGGCAGAGCAGAAAAGGACCAGGGAGCUGGUUAGAGAUUGGAGUGAUGGUGCAGGAGGGAGAACCCCAGGAAUUGAGGAAAACUAGGGUUAGAGAAAUGGGUGAGGGAGAACCCCAAGGGCAUUCCAGCACCGACCUAAUGGGGCUAUGGGCAACAGGGGCUUUUGGUAUUCUGUCCUCUGUUGCUGGUCCUCCUCCCCCCAGUUCCCAAGAUCCCCAUCUGUGAUGGGCUGGCAUCAGGGUGGGUAAGAUUCGUCCAGGCUGUUUCAAAGGUAUCACCUUAUCCUGAGAGUGGGCUGAUUGCUCAAGCUGGAUAGGCACAGCAGAAACAGGGCAAGGAGAAUAACUUGAACCUGCUCUCGGGUCUUAUUUCUUCCUGGAUCCCAAUCUGGGAAGACCCUAGACCCCAUAGCCUUUGUACCCUCAGUGCCUAGCUGAGGAUCAAGGGUCCUGAUCACAGGAUCACCAAGGCAGGGGGAUUUGCAGAGGGCCUUAAAGUUUGUUUUAUGUCCAUUUUCUCCCCAGAGCUGAAUGAUCCCUCUGUUCCAGGUACUAUCCUACCCACAAAGGGAAAUGGGACUGUCCAGAGCCACCCAGCUAGGGAUAGGAUAGGAGGCUGGAUCCUAACUCAUCAAUCAAUCAAAAUUGAUCUCUUAAGCCCCUACUAUGUGCCAAACUGUGCUACGUGUUGAAGAUGUUAAAAAAAAAAAAGACUAAUCCCUGCCCUCAAGGAGCUUCCAAUCUAUUGGAGUAUCCAUUAAGACCCAGGUCUCUUUAAGGGGUCACUAGGGAGCUAGUGGAUAGAAAUUCAAGCUUGGAAUCAGGGGGACCUGGGUUCAAAUCUGCCCUCGGACACUAUCCAGCCAUGUGACCCUGGGCAAGUCACUUAACCUCGAUUUCCCGGUCUUUUGUUUUAGAAGUGAUACCAAGAUGGAAGGUAAGGGUUCGGGGCUAACCCAUUCAUUUUACAGACGGGGAAAUUCAUCCUCAGAAAGCCUAAAGUCACAAAGGUGGUAAGCAGGAGCGUCAGCAUUUGAACCUGAAUGAAAAAGAGGGAAUGAAGGACCUACCCUACAACAGGAUUGUCGAAGGAGUCCAAGGUGGGAUGGUAGCUGACCAAGGGGCGGUAAUUCGCCUGGUAUCCAGUGCCUUUGUGCUGACCAAUUUGGGGCUUGAAACCCUCCCGACCUGCCAAAGAGAGAGGAUCGGCGUCCCUCAGAGGCAGCAGGAUGGAUGGAGCACCCGAGGCCAGCCGGGAGAAGGGGGAUGGAGGGCUCUGGGUGUGGGUGUUGCGAAGGAGUCCGUGUGAUGGCCCCCCUGGGGUGGGGGUGGGGGGUCACUAGAUAGGAUUAGGGAGGCCAUGCAGACAGGCCAAUGGGAUCAAGGUCCUUCCUUUGGGGACAAGAGAGUGAGGCCAGCUGAGACCCGGCCAAGUCCUGGAUCUGGGGGGCCCCAAGCUUUACUGGGCCACGUGAGACCUGGGCUCUCCUUGGCCCAUCUCCGGGAAGCAGUCAUGAGCCCAGCUGUAUUUCUCCAGGUCAAACAAAGGCUUGACAAUGAAGCAAAUGUGCACAUGUUUUCUUCUGCCCAACUUGUCUGGCAGCUAGGUGGCACUGGAGAUAGAGCACUGGGCCUGGAGUCAAGCCGGCUUGAGUUCAAAUCCAGCCUCAGACACUUGCUGGCUGAGUGACUCUGGGAAAGUCACUUAACUCUAUUGGCCUCAGUUUCCUCAUCUGUCAUAUGAGCUGGAAAAGGAAAGGGCAAACCACGACAGUCUCUUGACCAAGAAAAUCCCUAACGGGGUCCCAACUGAACAACAAUUCUUGGGUGACUUUGCCCACUCGGGUGGCACAUUAUUCAAUAAACCCAGAAGUUCCUUCCUUUCCUUGCCCAGAAGGGGUUGGGCAUGGAGGGCUGGAUACGAUGUUAGCUUGAUCAAUUUGCUGAUCAAUUUUGCUGAAUUGAUUCAUUUCCCUCUUUUUUCUUCUGCUAUCAGUGUCAGCUCUCCAGGAGUGGGAAGAGACAAAAUAGAAAAUGCAAGUGGCCUAAAAACAAGAGCUAUCAGCAAACCAUUAAAGAAAAUAAACCUCGGGGCAGGUAGGUGGCAUGGUGGACCGAGCAUCAGGUCUGGAGUUGGGAAGAUCUGGGUUCAAAUCUGGCCUCAGACACGUCCUGGCUGUGUGACCCUGGGCGAGUCACUUAACCUUGACUGCCUAGUCCUUGCCACUGUUCUGCCUCAGAGUUGAUACUAAGAAAGAAGGGAAGGGUUGAAAUCAAUCAAUAAACUGUCUAUUGAGUUCACCCUGUUUCCUUGCAAUCCUGAUUCAGCCAGGAUCUGGGCCCCUUUCCUCCUGGCUGCACCUUGCUGCUCCACAUCCCAGAGUGAUGCCUCUGGACCCCCGGACUUCUGGAGGUCAGCCUGAUCAGGGCAGUGCCACAGUGGGGCAGGGCGGGGAUGACAGGGAUGGUCUACGUCCUGGCCUGGGCCCUGCCGGGAGGAGGGAAGGGAGGGUGGCCUCGGGGAGCACCGGGGGAAGGGCCCUUACUGUAGGCUGUGCAAUAGCUGGUGGCGUAGAAUUUCAGGGGGUCUGCGCAGCCCCCCGAACUCAUCUUCACAUAAGGGGAAACAACCCCCAAAGGCAGUUUGCCCAUCAUGGUGGCAGCAGGAACUGGGCACCAGGAGCACCUAGGAAAGGAGAGACGGAGAACAAACAUCAACAACCAAUUCUGGCGUUGACAUGUCGUGAAAGUCUUCUUUUUCUAGGCUUCUCAGAGGGUGAGGGAGAGGCAAAGAGACACUCAGAGACACAGAAUUCAGAACUGAAGAUAUCUAUUUUUAAAAAUCAAUUCCAGGGGACAGCUGGGUAGCUGGGUGAAUGGAGAGCCAGGUCCAGAGACAGGAAGUCCUGGGUUCAAAUCUGGCCUCAGACACUGCCUAGCUGUGUGACCCUGGACAAGUCACUUAACCCUCAGUGCCUAGCCCUGACCACUCUUCUGCCUUGGAGCCAAUACUCAGUAUUGACUCCAAGAUGGAAGGUACUCAUUUAUUUUUAAAAAAUCAAUUCCAGAAUCCCAAUUUGGGAGCGUCUGGGUGGCUCAGUGGAUAGAGAGCCAGAGGUUCCAGUCUGACCUCAGACAAUUCCCAACUGUGUGACCCUGGAUAAAUCACUCGACCCCCAUUGCCUAGCCCUUACUGCUCUUCUGCCUUGGAACCAAUGCGUGCUUUUCCUCACAUAUCCAACUCCAUCUCCUGAGACUAUUAUAUUGUUUUGUGCAUGUUCUCUCUCCUGGUAAAAACAGAAGCCUCUUAAGGAAGGAGACUUUUCUCUUGUUUUUGUUCCCCCAGGACCCAGCCCAGUGUUUGGCACAUAGGAGGACAUGCUAUUGGACUGAUCACUCCAGCCUGAUUUCUCUCUUUUACAGCUGAGGAAACUGAGGCCCCAGAGAGGGAAAGGAUUUGUUCAAGUCAUCCAGCUAACAAAUAGCAGGACCAGGAUUUGAAGCUGGGAGCUCCUUGCAGGAAGGGACUCUUUAUUGCCAUUUCUCUUUAUCCUUGGUGCUUAGGGAAGUGCCUGACACACAGUAGGUGCUUCAUAAAUGCUUAACUUGAGCUGACUUUCCAUUCUAAGUCCUCCAGGACAGAGAGGUCCAGCUAGAUCAAUUCACUGAACCUGAAGUCAGCGGGACCUGGGUUUGAACCUUACCCCUGACACUGACUAGUUGUGGACCCUGGGCAAGUCAUUCCUUCUCUGAGCCUCAAUCUUCUCAUCUGUAAACUGGGGAUGAUUUUACCUGCACUAGACACCUUACCGAGUACUCAUCUAUAAAAGGGGAUUAUAACAACCCACAGGGUAGAAGAGGAAAGCUGACUCUGGUAUGGAAGGACCUGGGUUCAAAUCUUGCCUCUGACACUGCCCGUGUGACUUUGGGAGAGUUAUUGAUCUCUCUGACCUUGGGUCAGACUGUAACUAGGGGGAGGGGGAGGGUUUAGACUAGAUUAGAUGACUUCUGCUGUGCAUGCCAGCUCUAAAUCUCAGCUCCUGCAACAUGGGAUUAUCAGUGUAGAUCAAAUGGACAGAUAGCUGCACCUAAUAAACGUUUAUCGACCGCCCUGUAUCUUUUGAGAUAUCAGUAAAAUCCUCCCUUAGAAGGUGAGCUUCUUAGGGUGCCUCAUUAGAAUGGGAGACCAGGCUGGGGCUGCCUUUUCUAAUUGCUUUUUUUGCAUACAGUAAGCACUCCAUAAGAGCUUCAUCAUUCCUUCACUUGCCCUAGAUUUGGUCUCUCUGAAUGAAUGGCAGCCACGAUGACUAUUUUUCCUCCCCUAGAAUGGGUCUGUCUCCAGUGCCUCUUUGUGGGGGGGGGGGGUAAUCCGGGGCUCUAGCUGGUCCUCCACCCAGGAAAGCCUCCACCUCAGGACCUGGGGCUUGACUCUGUUUGGUGCCCAAUCUGGCUAACUUCAGGGGGAUGCUGCCGGGUGAAUGCAGGCAAGCAUCUUUCUCCCAAGGAAAUCAGCGGGUUCUGGGAGGAGGCGACCACACAUAGAAUGGCAGAUUCUUGAAGAAUGAAUAUGCUUUUCUGUAGAAUUUGGCCAAUUGCCCUGCCAGGCAAACACAGGGAUUCCUCUCCCUAUUUGACAGGCGAGGGAACUCCCCCUCAGAGAAGAAAGAUAAAGUUGCCCAUUCUCAUAGACCUAGUAAAGUGGGAUUUGAACCCAGGUCUUUACAGAGUUUUUUUUUCACACCCCCAGAUUCCCCGGGUUCAAAGAUCCCUGUUCCAUGCCACAGUGUGCUUGGAGUUCUUGCUGCACUGGAACCUCCUUGAGGGUAGGGACUCUGCUCUCUCCAUCUCUGCAGCCUCCCAGGAUCACCCAGCCCAAAGCCCCAGAUUAUCCGAGCUUUGUGGAACUGAAUCAGCCAGUAAAUGAAAGAGGGAUGGAUGUGCCUGCCUUCCAGGGAUUUCUACCUAGAAUGCGCUUUCCUGCCUGCCUCGCUGGGUCUCUGGUCGCUCAUCUCCCCCCAUCCUCCCUCCAGGGUCCUAGUUCUCCUCCCUCCCUCCUUCCCUCUCCAUCUUCCCUCAGGCUGCUGCCUGCUGUCACCAGAGAUGCUCCUGGGGAGGCGGUGCCCAGCCCCCACCGUCCUACCUGUGCCUGUGUGGCUCUGAGUGACAGGGAGAUGGACUCCCAGGAGCUGGAGCGUCAGGGGAAGGAGCUGCCUUUAGGAGAAGCUGCAACUGACUGGCUAGCCCUGCCCCAGAGGAGGAGGCAGGCAGGGCUGGAAUGGCAACAAUGCGUUGCUCGGCAACAGAAGCCUAGCAACCAGCUUCCAAACAGCUCGGGAGUCAGCUUCCCCUAGAGUCCAGAGUGCAGGGAGAGGAGAGGGUUAGAGGGAGCCCCACAUCCGCCCGGGAGCUCUAGUCAGUCUCGUACACCAAACGCAAGUCAGUCGAUUCAUUCCAUUAAGCACCUCCUCCUCCUCCAAGGAGAGCCUGGAUUGGACCCUGAGAGAGGAACCCAAAGCAAACUUCGGAUCUGGCUUGGUUCCGUACUCUCCAGUCCAAAAGAGGCUGAGCUACAAGCCCACCAUGGCCCAUGAGGAGCCUCAGGGAGGAAUGAAGGACUCUGGGAGGGCAGGGAGAGUUGGGGGGCGGGGAGGGUCCUUUUGAGGUGGGCUUCAAGGAGGGAAGGGUGGGCACUUCCGGCCAAAGAAAACCCCAGGUAGCUUAGAAGUGCCCCAAGUGUGUUGGGCAGGAGAGUGACUGCUCCAGUUUGGCAAAGGACAUUUGGGGAAAUAAUGAGAAUUAAAAGAGCCUGUUGGGGAAGUCAUGGAAAGGAGUCAAGGCUACAGGAGAGCAGGACAAGCCUUUCCUGUCUCUCCUCCCCCCAAUGAUCUUGUAAUUUCUUUUGUAGACUCAUAUAUGUUCAUAGAAGUUUCCUGGGAGCAGAGGCUGCUUCAUUUCUGGCUUUAUUUGCCCGGUGCCUGGUACAGUGGCACAUAGUAGGUGCUUUAUUUAAUGUACGCCAGUUGGCUGAUGGAUUGAUUAACUGGAAUAAAAUCUGUUUGAGAGUCAGGGACCCAGUUCUGUUAUUUUUCUCCUUGUGUGACCUUGGGCAAGUCUCUUUUCCUCUCCGGGCCUCAGUUUAUUCAUCUGUAAAAGGAGGAGGGUUGGACCAGAUGGCCCCAGAGGUUCCCUCCAGGCUCAGCUCCAUCUCCAGAUCUCAGAUUCAGAGUGAAGCCCGCCUUUAUUCACCCUCAGCUGGCCUGCCAGAAUCAUCAAACUCCCUCGGUUGGAUGGAAGUCCGGAUGGCUGGUGCCAGCCCAGGAAGUGGAGGAUCUCCCUGGCACCUUCCGUGUCUGCCCACGUUCGAAGUGCUCCCCGGCGUCUGCUUCUGUCCCCAUCAUGGCCACUGCAGCAAAUGUUCAUCCUCCUCCCCGUCGGCCAGGGAUGUCUUUCCGGGCCUGGAGCAGACAGCCCCCGACUCACCGGCUACUCUCAAGCUGCCCGUGCGAUGCUUCUUGGAUCCACGAGGGAAUUGGGGGGCCGGGGGACACCCAGCAUGGACGAGGAGCCCCGAAAAGGGCUCAGCAAGCCCUGCCACCAGAGCUCCCAGCCUUCCCGGAGCCGCUGGCACACCCCUGGUUAGUGCGAGAUGGAAAUGUUGUUGUCAGGCCGGGGCGACAGUUCUGGGUACUCUUCCCUGCUCAGACUCCUUCUGGGCUAGUGAUGUCUUCCCCAGCACUCAGGCCGGACCGUGAGAAAGGGGACGGCACCCGGGCUGGGGAAGGCCCUGGAGAUCACUGCGAAGAACCAGGAGUGCGUCCGGAGAAAGCAGACCAAGGUAGGCAAGAACCACGUCUUCAUGCCAGUAUGUUGAGAACUCUAAGACGAAGAGGGCUAUUUAAGGUCCGUAAGACUAAUAAGCGCUAUAGGAAGCCUUCCCCAGUGCUUCUUCAUUCUGGUUCCUUCCCUCUAUUAUUUCCUCUUUAUCCUGUAUUUAGCUUGCUCCAUGGCAAAGUCGAUAAAGGGCCAUGCCUGGAGUCAACAAGACCUGAGUUCAAAUCUGGACUUGGACACUAGCUGGGUGACUCUGGGCAAGUCGUUUCACCUUGUUCGCUUCCGUUUCCUCAUCUGCAAAGUGAGCUGGAGAAGGAAAUGGCCAACCCCUUCAGGAUCUCUGCUAAGAAAACCUCAAAUGGGGUCACCAAGAGUCAGACAUGAUUGAAAAAUGACUGAACAACAAGGAAUCAGGCAAAGGGGUGGCGGUGGUAAAGGAUAGGAUGCGCCUCUGUCCGCCGGCUAUCGGAUGGAGUACUUGGAGGGGCUGGUAGGAGGUGAUGCUGGAGAAGCGGGCUGGCCCCAGAUCCAGAAGGGGUUGAAUGGCGUCCGUAUCUGCUAGAAGGGUUGGACGCCAAGACAUUGACAUUCAUUGGAGGAUGGAUCGUGGGCUGGGAAGGACCCUCGAGAUUCUCUUGUCUUGGGAUCAGAUCAAUGAACAUUUGUUAAGGCAGGCACUGUGCCAGGCCCUGGGGACACCAAUACAAAUAAGAACAGACAGUCCCUGCCCUCAAGGAACUCGCAAUCUAAUUCGUUGCUGUUCAGUCAUGACCCCACUUGGGGAUUUUUGGCGAAGAUGCUAGAGCAGUUGGCCAUUUCCUUCUCCGGCUCAUUUUACAGAUGAGGAGAUCGAGGCCAACAGGGUGAAGUGACUCACCCAGGGUCACACAGUCAGUAAGUGUCUGAGGCUGGAUUCGAUCUCAUGAAGAUGAGUUUUCCUGAUUCCAGGCCCAGCAUUCACUGUGCCACCCAGCCGCCCUACACUCCAAUAGGGAAAGACAGUAUCAGAAAAGGAAGCCAGAGGUGGUGGGGCCAUGAUGGAGAGUUCCAAAGAGGCCCCACAGCAGUGACUAAGAUCACAGAUUUGGGGCUAGAGGAGACCUUCCAUUAGAGAACUGGAGUGACUCGCCAAGUCAUACGGCUAGCGGCUCCCAAGGCAGGAUUUUCUAUUUUCAAACCUUUACCUUCUAUCUUAGAAUCAAAGCAGAAGAGCAGUAAGAGAUAGGCAAUUGGGGUGAAGGGACUUGCCCAGGGUCACCCAGCUAGGAAGUGUCUGAGGCCAAAUUUGAACCCAGGACCUCCCAUCUCGGAGCGUGGCUCUCUAUCCACUGAGCCACUGCCCCCUAAGGGUCAGUCUGAAUGACCAGAAGGACAGGAGAAUUGGCCUGUCUAAUAAGAAGCCCAAAUGUAAUCACACAAAGCUCCUUUCCACCCCCAGCUUUCUUCCCGAGGAAAGUUAAAACCGACGUUCUUUCUGGUUGCCCUGCCAGCUGUUUUUAGGGGAGUCCACAGGAGAACAACCAAGAUGAUUUAGGUCUCGGAAAUGGGCCCUUGAGAAAAAACUAGAGGAACUGGGUCUGCCAGAGUAGAGUACUAGCUACGGGGAGAAAAGGGACUUGUUCUUCCGAAGGGGGUGAGAAGGUACCAAAGUGGCCAAGGCUGAGUCUGGAGCCCUGUCUCUGCCCCAGUGGGUUGUAGGACUUUAGAUAUGUCUCCUGACGUUGCUCCUAUCCUGGCACAGGCCCUCACCACCCUGUGCCUGGACUACUGCAACAGCAGUCUCUCCUCACUCACGCCCAUCCUUCCCUCAACUGUCAAAGUGAACUUCCUAAAUGUGGCUUCAACCACAUCAACCUUCUACUUGGUAAACUCUAGUGGCCCAUCAUCGCCUUUCAGAUCGAAGGGAAAAUCUUGGGGGCAGUUAGCUGGCUCAGUGGACACAUCCUAGAUGUGUGACCCUGAGGAGGUCACUUAGCCCCCAUUGACUAGUCCAGUGAUGGUGAACCUUUUAAAGACUGAGUGCCAAAAUUGCAACCCUCACACUGCAUGUGAGCCCCCCACCUUACUCCAGACAGGGAAGGGAGGAAGCACUCCCAUUGGGUUGCUGGGCAAGGGGGGAUGCUGUGAUAAAUGUCCUCAGGCACUCAUGGACUGGGGAAACAGAGCAGCCUCCUCCUGCAUACUCUAGCAUGUGUGCCAUAGGUUCACCAACGCAAACCUAGUUCUUACUGCUCUUCUUCUGCCUUUCAACCAAUCAAUACAUAGUCCUGAUUUUAAGAGAGAAGGUAAGGGUUUAAAAAAAUCUCCUGUUUGGUACCCAAAGACCACAAAUUCACUCCUUUCUCCUUUUCCAGUCUUAUUGCACCUCCCUUCCCUCCAUAUGCUAUACUGGCCUCCUCGCUGUUCCUCAAAACAAUCUCCCUCCAUUUCCAGAUUCCAUUCAUUUUCACUGGCUAUUCCCUGAGUCUCCCUCCUUACCACUGCCCUUGACCUCCUUCAAGCUUUUUUUUUUUAAAUCCUCACCUUCUGUCUUAGUGUUGAUUCUAAAACAGAAGAGUGGCUAGGGCUGGGCAAUUGGAGUCAAGUGACUUGUCCAAGGCCACACAGCUAGGAUGCGAAUGAGACAAGAUUUGAACCCAGAGCCCCUCAGUUUCAGACCUGGUGCUCUGUUCAUUGUGUUACCUAGAUACCCCUUGGCCUACUUCAGUUCUUAGCCAAAGCUUCAUCUUCUCCAUUAAGCCUUUCCUUUGUCCUCUUUCCUCUUAGAGCCUUCUCUUGGAGGUUAUCUCCAGUUCCUGUUGUAGAUAAUCUAGUUUAUAAAAAGUUGUCCUUAGACCAGAGGCUCUUUGAGGGCAGGGAUUGCCUGAUGGUAGUCCUGAGGGCUCAGCACAGUGAGUGGCACUCAGAGAUAAUGCUUGGCGACUUCCCCUUUCUGUGACUCUAUUUUUUGUACAAUUAGUAGGUUCAGUUCAAUGCCUUUAAGGUCUCUUCUUGUGCUAUGAUUUCAGACUCUAUCUCUGAUUCUCUCUGAUCUCAUGUGAAGCCUCUUGCCACCCUGUUGUGAGGACAAAGGGGGAUUUUUCUUUCAUUCUGGAUGAAUUCAUUUGAGCAAGGAGUUCCUUGCAGGAGACCAGAAUCCAGGAUGGCCAGCAGGAAGCCAAGAUUGGGAACAAUUUCUAAGUGAAAGGAAGCCAGGACCCUGGUUCUUCACUGGAGGGGAUGGAGAGGUUAAGAUGAGGACCGGUCAUAGCCAGCCUCCUGGUCUACAGCCUGCGAGCUCCCUGAAAAAGAAAUGUCCUCUCUCUGGCUUCCAGAAUCAUCUCCUUUCUGGUGCUUUUCACAUUCUGUAAAAUUGCACUAGAAAACCUUGCUGGAAUGAAGCUUAGCGGCCAGCACUUUCCUUUUGCCACUGAGGAAACUGAUGUCUAGAGGUUAAGUGAUCCACCCAAGCUAAAAGAACUAUUUGGGAUUCGGAGAUUAGAUCCAGGGCCUCCUGCCUCCCUCAGUUUCACUCUGAUGCACUUUCUCCAUCACUCUGCUACCUGCAGGUUUUAAACCCCAGGCAGUGCGGUGGCCCUGUAUAGGUCACAACUUCUGUUUGAAUCAUCUGUAAAAUGGAGAUAAUAACAGCUCCCACCCCCCUGGGGUUGUUGUGAGGACCAAAUGAGGUAAUAUUUGUAAAGCACUUAGCACAGUACCUGGCACUUAGAAGAUGCUCACUAAAUGUUUUCCCCCCUUCCCUCAAUUGUCCUAUUGCUUUUCUCUGCCCAUCUUACUCCAUUUCCUUAAUGAGUCUAAUUAGGAGCUGACAUUUUCUAUGGAGUCAUCCUUGGGAUGACCCUGGACAAGUCACUUCACCCUGUUGGCCUCAGUUUCCUCAUGUGUAAAAUGAGCGGGAUAAGGAAAUGGCAAACCCUUCCAAUGUCUUUGUCAAGAAAACCCCAAAUGGGGUCACGAAGAGUGGGAAAUGACAGAAAAUGACUUCAUAUGC